Podarcis lilfordi (Lilford's wall lizard) is the source of this 1364-nucleotide non-coding RNA. The record is from the annotation of a GenBank genome assembly. Lineage: Eukaryota; Metazoa; Chordata; Lepidosauria; Squamata; Lacertidae.
GAGAGGAGGAGCAUGGGGAAUCGGACGGCGGUUUGCGAGCUGAAUUCCUUAAUGACAUCCUCAUUAAAAAGGCUUCACUGCCAAACGCUGUUUGCCUCUGCCUUCGGAAACUGUCUGCAUUAAUAAUGAGGAGCUCCACUUGGAAGGUAUUUACAUAAAGUAUUGUAGUCCUGUCAUGGUUGGAGACAGCAAACACUGUGCUGGUUCAGAUAGCGUGUGGGGGUGGGGGUGAGAGAACAAGAGAUUUGGUAGUCCAAGCAUUCAUAGGAACCAGUGAUGUUUGAGAUUGUAAGAGCAUAAGGAGAGCCUGCUGGAUGAGUCCAGUGGCCCAUCUAGUCCAGCAUCCUGUUCUCACAGUGGCCAGCCAGAUACUUGUUAUGGGAAACCUACAAGCAGGACCUGAGCACAAGAGCAGUCUACUCUCCUGCAGUCUCCAGCAGCUGGCAAUCAGAAGCAUUACUGCUUCUGAUCACAGAUUCCAUUUUGAUUCAACAGGAAGGGCUUUCUUGUUGCAUGAGCUUUUAAUGAGAGCAUUAGGAAGCAGAGAAGGACAGAACAAAUGGUGGCUCUUGCCCAUUGGGACUGGUGGGGCAGAAGACACAGAGACCAACAGCAAGGAGAGCCAGAGCCAAUGACUGGUAAAGCCAGAGUCAAUAAGAGGGGGAGCCAACUUGUUCUUGUUUGUCCCCCAUCCUUCUCCCUGCUGAGUUCUUCAAGGGUAUCACUGAGACUAAGUAGGAAGAAGGUGAUAGCCAGGGCUGAUCGUAAGAAAGCAGGAAGGCAGGUGUGAGGGUUGGCUGUGGGCAGAAUGAGGUGAGUGGGGCAGUGCCCCAUUCAUUCUAGUGGACCAGGCUCCUGAAGCCAGGCGACAAACAACUAUAUUCAUUUUGUAGGCAUCAGAAGAGCCCUGCUGUAUCAAACCAAAAGGCCUGUCCAACCCAGCCCAGUAAGUUAGUUUUCCACACUUGCCAAGCCAGAGAACACAUGGCCCCCCUGUAUAUUUACUCAGGAUGGAUUUAUUUCCAUACCACUUACCAGCUUUAAAAUAUUUCUAAGUGGUGUACAAAAAAACUGAAUCAAUGACAAAAUAUUACAAUAAUGCACAGUUACAAAUAAAAAUGUUACAUCAAUGCAAAGUCACUAAUAUAUAUAAAUUAAUCCAAUUCAUUUUUCUUCUGGGUCCUUCCAGGGUCCAACAAACUCGACUCACCCGCAAAAGUCUCACAAUGAGAAGAGAUCCUGGAAACAGCAGACAGCUCCUUAGUUUCUUACUCUAGACUUGCUUUUUAUGGGCUGCCCCAGGGUGGAUGAUACUUCCUCAGGCUGCAUCCCAUUGCUUCAUGAAAUAAUUCUGUAUCCUCACA